CUACCAGGGUUUCUAAUCCUGUUUGCUCCCCACGCUUCCGCACCUCAGCGUCAAUACCUGUCCAGCGAGUCGCCUUCGCCACUGGUGUUCUUCCGAAUAUCUACGAAUUUCACCUCUAUACUCGGAAUUCCACUCGCCUCUCCAGGAUUCUAGCAAUCUAGUUUCAGAGGCAGUUCCGGGGUUGAGCCCCGGGAUUUCACCCCUGACUUGGAUCGCCGCCUACGCGCGCUUUACGCCCAGUAAUUCCGAACAACACUAGCUCCCUCCGUAUUACCGCGGCUGCUGGCAC
This 289-nucleotide ribosomal RNA is filed under the name uncultured Altererythrobacter sp. RNAcentral describes it as "partial 16S ribosomal RNA". The record is from RNAcentral. Lineage: Bacteria; Pseudomonadati; Pseudomonadota; Alphaproteobacteria; Sphingomonadales; Erythrobacteraceae.